Gorilla gorilla gorilla (western lowland gorilla) is the source of this 592-nucleotide long non-coding RNA. RefSeq lists it as uncharacterized. The record is from RefSeq and is a predicted model, not a curated record. Lineage: Eukaryota; Metazoa; Chordata; Mammalia; Primates; Hominidae. The transcript is spliced from 3 exons.
AUGACCUUUCAUCUUAUUUCUCAUCUGCUGGUCCCAUCAACCCUAACUUUGUAUCUGCUAAAACUCAGGAUGUGAUAGGUUAUAUUGGGCAACAAUGACAACAAUUCAGUGGGCUAAAGAAAAAGUUUAAUUUCUGCUGAUAUUGCAUAUCCAACAAGGACUGGAAGAGGGAAUCUUCACUUUGGACCCUAAAAGGUCCAGCCUGAUUUUGAAAUUUGAAGACAAAUUGAUAGGUGGAAACACGAUUCAAGAGAAAGUGAACACACCAUUGUUACUACAGACAGAAGGUGGAUUGAGGGAAGAAUGGCUUAUUUAAUUGGUGAAUUUUAGAGAAGAAAUUGAGAAUGUCUGCUACUUUUCAUCCCUCCUGAAACUACUACUAUUUUUAGAGGUGCCUAACAUGUUGACCUGCUCUUUGGUAGGUGGUAAACUUGCCUUGCAAACUCUUCUGCAAGAAAGGCUUGGGAUCUUUCAGUUUAGUUUAUAACUGUCUAGAUUUAUCAGUCCAGAUUGGCUAGGUUAUGCUGGGUAACAAACAACACCAACAUUCUAGUAGAUUUUAAAUAAAGGUUUAACUUCUGCUUCUGCUUAU